This 72-nucleotide transfer RNA is filed under the name Cavia porcellus (domestic guinea pig). It matches the Rfam family "tRNA". Rfam says of the family: Transfer RNA (tRNA) molecules are approximately 80 nucleotides in length. Their secondary structure includes four short double-helical elements and three loops (D, anti-codon, and T loops). Further hydrogen bonds mediate the characteristic L-shaped molecular structure. tRNAs have two regions of fundamental functional importance: the anti-codon, which is responsible for specific mRNA codon recognition, and the 3' end, to which the tRNAs corresponding amino acid is attached (by aminoacyl-tRNA synthetases). tRNAs cope with the degeneracy of the genetic code in two manners: having more than one tRNA (with a specific anti-codon) for a particular amino acid; and 'wobble' base-pairing, i.e. permitting non-standard base-pairing at the 3rd anti-codon position. Lineage: Eukaryota; Metazoa; Chordata; Mammalia; Rodentia; Caviidae. The record is from Rfam by way of RNAcentral.
GGAAGUGUGGCUCGGUGCAAGAGCUCUUGCCUUCCAUGCACAAGGCUCUGGGUUCAAUUCCCAGCACCAUUA